UUCUUAGGUUAUUUAUCUGAUUUAUUGAUUAUGAUGGUGACGUUAUCUAGUUAUUUUAGUUUUCUGCAAGUGUAAUCUGUAUGUGUUUUAUUAAAUAUAUGUGGCUGAAUCUGUAUGAAUUUGCUCCAAGUGACACUUUGAAUUCGUUUUGUUGUACUUUUUGAUUUUGGAAUAUAUUUUGGUUGGAUCUCUUUGUGUUUUCAUCCGAACACACUGUGUUUUUGGAUUGUAUAAACGCAUGACCAAAGCAACAAUAGCUUUGCAGCUGCACAAGCAACUGAAGACCUUACGGACCCACAAGGACUGAAAUCACCAUUUCUGCUCAUCAGAUAUUGUAUUUGCUUCAGUUUUUAAAAAGAGACAUUUUCAGGACUGAGAAUCAUGAUUUUAGUUUGUAUGAUUUGUAAACAGGUUUCAUUUUAAAGUAAUGCAAAAUGAUGCUCGCAUUUAGGCAUCUAGCUAACACGCGGGCUCUUGGUCAGAUGUUCUGGUGAGAAUUCUCAUAAGUUCCAAAUUCAAGCUCCUAACUAAUAUCGAUAACCUUUGUUAUAGGAGUUGAAUGACAUUGACUUGCUAGUUGAUAGGAGGAGCAGGGGCCCGAGCUGGUAUACAUGCAGGGAACUUAUAGGGGGAGCACAGGCCCGAGCUACUCAUUUGUGCAAUACAAGCAUUCCUGAACUUAAGCAAUCUGUGGAAAAAGCCAUUGAUGCACUAAGGAGCCAUUACAGGGCUGUAUCAACUUAGCAUUACCUUAAAGAAUAAUUAGGCCCUUAGUUGGUACGAAAGUAAGUAAUUUAACUGCUAUAUCGGGCAAGGACCUGAAGGUGGUCAAUGAAGUGAAAAGAAACUAAGUGCAAUCGCUCUCGCAACAGAAAAGCAGACAAUAGUAAAAAGUGCGAUCAGUAAGUUUCAUGCAACGAUACAGUUGCAAUUUGAUUUUCAUAGGGCCUUAUACAACCUCGGCACUGUUUGUAUGGGUUAGCAGGAGACACAUCAAGAACUGGAGGGACAACGGGAGGAUAUGAUGUUUUCCCGGAUAAAUUAUAUAGUCAGACAGCCAUCUACAUUGCUGCUGCUCAUGCAUUAAAGCCAAGUUACUCUGUGUGUAUCUUCUAUGCAUCAAGAUCGGGGAAGAUAAAAAAGAAUACACGGAUGAUAUUUUGGAUGAAAUUCGUGAAGAAUGGGCAAAUUAUGUGGCAAACUUCAUUUACCGGUCUUGAAUUCUAUAUAAUUUAGCAGUUGUAAACUUUUAUGGUUAUAUUUAGAAUUUUAAAAUAGCUUGUAGUUGUAUGAAACGCAUUGCUUUCAUAUAUAUGAAAUGCGUUCUUUUGCUA
Long non-coding RNA from Erigeron canadensis, 1334 nucleotides. RefSeq lists it as uncharacterized. The record is from RefSeq and is a predicted model, not a curated record. The transcript has 6 exons. NCBI's taxonomy places the organism in Eukaryota, Viridiplantae, Streptophyta, Magnoliopsida, Asterales, Asteraceae.